RNAcentral lists this unclassified non-coding RNA (339 nucleotides) under uncultured Ascomycota. Its description in RNAcentral is "sequence contains ITS1". The stretch from base 1 to 105 matches the Rfam family "5.8S ribosomal RNA", at positions 50 to 154 of the family's 154-position model. The record is from RNAcentral. Lineage: Eukaryota; Fungi; Ascomycota.
GAAAUGCGAUAAGUAAUGUGAAUUGCAGAAUUCAGUGAACCAUCGAACCUUUGAACGCACAUUGCGCCCCCCGGCACCCCGGGGGGUACGCCUGUCCGAGCGUCGGUGCUCCCCCUCAGGCUAGGCCUGGUCGCGGGCCCCGCGCGCGAAAACCCUCCCCCCCGAGGGGGCGCGCGCGCGGGCCCGAGAUGCGUCGGCGGCGCGGCCCCGGCCGGGAGCGAACAAGGAGGCCCAGGCCGCCCCGCUCCCGCGCCCCGGAGCCCGCCGCCCGGCCCCCCGCGGCCGCAACACCACCUCGCGGUCGACCUCGGAUCAGGCGGGGCUACCCGCUGAACUUAA